AUCUCAUCACAAGGGUUUCUAAUCUUCCAGAGACUGCUGGGAAAUGUAGUUACCAGGGAGAAGUAUGCUACAGUUUUACCUCCUGACUAGUUCAAUAACUUCCUUUGCUCUCCACCCUCCUAUCCAGGUGGUUGUUAGCACUAAUUGGCUGCCCCUGUGUGUAGCCUAUUCUGUAGUGGAAACACAGGAGGUGAAAAAUGUGGUUUCUCUGGGAGAGCCUUUAAUUAUCUACUGCUUUCCUGCUCUCCUGGCAAGCAUACAGGUCACACUACUUCUCAUGGUAACGGUCCAUCCCGUGGAAAUUCAGAAGGCGUGAGUCCUUCUCCUGACCUGUCGACUGAGUUUGCUGAUUGAGAUACAGAACAUGGACAAAAUGGUGCAGGUGGAUGGCUGAAAGCAACACAAGUUAUUUUCACAGUCUGGAACAGAGGCAGAAUACAGGGCCAAUGGAAGGACAAUGAGACUGAAAGACCGAAGUCUUGGGUUCUAGUCUCAGCUCUGCCACCGGCCUGCUCUGUGUCCCUGAGCUGAUGAAAGUGCAAAGGAAGAAUUGAGGACUAACUGGCUCCUGGGUAUUAAACUAUCAGGAAGGCCAGGGGAGAGUAAAUCACUUUCUUCGACUGAGCACGCAAAACUUCCAACUAUUUAUUCCCUCUACUGCUGACAGGGAUUGCGACCAGAACAUAAAGUCUCACAAAUCCAUGUCAGUGACAAUGAUCAUGACACAAGCAGGAAGGAAUACACACAUCAACCUCUCCAGAGUCAGUUUGAAGAUUGUGAUCAGAUGGCCCUCCCCAGACAUUGCUUGGAGUAAGUGAUUAAAGUCCAAUUUCUCAUUUAUAGGUGUCUUCUUGGUAGAGGUGAAAGAAUUGCAAUGUAACACCUGACAAAAAAGACUUGUAAGCUCACUGCAAAUUCCAUAGUAGGCAUAGAUUUUUCCAAUGUUGCCAGGCUAAUCCGGGCUUCCCAUAUUCCCCAUGGUAUAAAUCAAACCCAGGGCAAAGGGUAAAUUUAAACUUUCAGGGAGCCCAGCAUGGGCUUGUAGGUAUGGACAGUAGUGAUUUUGGAACGAGGUUUUGCUUGUAAUUUUAAUACCCUGCGCUGCUGUGGCCUGGUUAGCACUGCGAAUCAGGUCCAUUUCUUAACCGAGGGUUAAGAAAGGGACACAGUGCUAAGCAAAGUAUAACUCUCCAGAGAAAAUCAUGCAGAAUGCAUUAUUGUGUUGUCCAAAUCCAAGACAUUGACCAAAGCAAUAUAAAUAUAUUGAAGAUGGUUUUAAAUUCAGUUUAACACCAAUAAUGAAAGAUUGAAUUUGCUUUUUAAUGUACGUUUCUAAAUGCUUACUUUCGAAGUGUUACCUUUCACAUCCCAUUCAGCAAAAAGGUACUUUGUGGUAACAGAGAAGUCUAUCUAUGAGAAAUCAAUGUUGUCAUUACCUAAUAUUAAAGUGAAAUGGACUUUAA
This is a long non-coding RNA of Ornithorhynchus anatinus (platypus), 1463 nucleotides long. RefSeq lists it as uncharacterized. Lineage: Eukaryota; Metazoa; Chordata; Mammalia; Monotremata; Ornithorhynchidae. The transcript has 5 exons. The record is from RefSeq and is a predicted model, not a curated record.